Lemur catta (Ring-tailed lemur) is the source of this 171-nucleotide long non-coding RNA. RefSeq lists it as uncharacterized. The record is from RefSeq and is a predicted model, not a curated record. The transcript has 3 exons. NCBI's taxonomy places the organism in Eukaryota, Metazoa, Chordata, Mammalia, Primates, Lemuridae.
CACACUUUCACAUCCUUAAGGACUGGGAUGGCCCUCGACUCCCACCCAAAAUCUGGGUCAGAUGUUGAGACUGAUGAUGCCAAGCACACACCAAGAGAUAAUGGAAAGAAUAUACAAUAAUAGGCUGGGUGUUGUGGCUCAUGCCUGUAACCCCAGCAUUUUAGGAGGCCA